GGGAACGUAAGGGUUUCGACUGGAUAAAGAAACUAAAACGUGCAAGGCAGAGGGCAGCGUGGCUCUGUAAAAACGCUGAAUUGAUAAGUGCCAAUACUGACACUUUUUCUGAUUACGCCUUAGCUGCAUAAUCCGAGGUUGCUGGGAACCUUGUUAACAAAGACCAGCAAAACUCGAUUAGCCUUCGAGUAAAUAGGGCUGAAUGGUUACCUCGUUUUUAUCGGUGAAAAUCCGACUGUAGGGACGAGUGGAUCCCUAAUACUCGAUAUGGGAUGGGAUGAUUCGAGUUACUUUGUCAGUUUAGAAUAAACUGAACAACCUUGUGAAUGACAUUUUAUUGGAAUUAUUUAGGACGCGGGUUCGACUCCCGCCGUUUCCACCA
This 382-nucleotide transfer-messenger RNA is filed under the name Candidatus Aenigmatarchaeota. RNAcentral describes it as "GCA-2688965 sp002688965 Standard tmRNA". It matches the Rfam family "transfer-messenger RNA". Rfam says of the family: Bacterial tmRNA, also known as 10Sa RNA or SsrA, is named for its dual tRNA and mRNA-like properties. Its role is to liberate the mRNA from a stalled ribosome. The record is from RNAcentral. RNAcentral also lists the same sequence under 1 other name. Lineage: Archaea; Nanobdellati.